Molecule: small nuclear RNA, 107 nt
Organism: Rattus rattus (black rat)
Lineage: Eukaryota; Metazoa; Chordata; Mammalia; Rodentia; Muridae
Source: RefSeq, a predicted model, not a curated record
GUGCUCACUUCAGCAGCACAUAUACUAAAACUGGGACGAUACAGAGAAGAUCAGCAUGGCCCCUGCACAAGAAUGAUACACAAAUUCUUGAAGCGUUCCAUAUUUUU